GUUUUUAUUGACGGAACUCCGCUUUCACCUGCCUGUCCCUUGUGCACUCACAAAAUGAGAGGAACACCACUCCCAACUGACGCAAUUGUAAAAUUCGGAACUCCUCUUCCAACAGAUGCAGCUAAUUUUGGGUGAAUUUCAAAUAAAUUUUUUUGCCUAAA
This is a long non-coding RNA of Caenorhabditis elegans, 161 nucleotides long. Ensembl annotates it as ncRNA. Its record names the gene linc-51. The record is from Ensembl. NCBI's taxonomy places the organism in Eukaryota, Metazoa, Nematoda, Chromadorea, Rhabditida, Rhabditidae.